This 630-nucleotide long non-coding RNA is filed under the name Phoenix dactylifera (date palm). Its description in RNAcentral is "long non-coding RNA (PDAC_LNC020230)". Lineage: Eukaryota; Viridiplantae; Streptophyta; Magnoliopsida; Arecales; Arecaceae. The record is from RNAcentral.
UCGGAGUCCGUUUGACCCCCUAAAUAAUUCGCCGAAGUUGGGACUUCGACACAGUUUUUCCGUAGUGCCGGAAAAAUUUGUUAAAAUCCGAUUCUUCCUCUUUUAACCACCUCUACAACCCUUAUCCGACCCCUCUAGACUAUAUCCACCCUUUGUAUAGCCUAAUGUCAUCAAAAGACUAGAUAGGGACGGAUAUUUACCUUUUUCUUUUUGGAAAUCGAGGUCUUUGCGUAGAGGGAAAGGAGAUCUACGUUUUUCCCUUCAGCUGGAAGUGCAAUCGGGACUCCCUUUCCUCCUCGAAUUCCUUUCCUCUUCUUCUUUCUUCUUCUUCUUCUUCUCUUUUUCCUUCUUUCUUUCCUCUCUGCGUCUCUGACUCUCCCUCUCUGUUACUCUCUCUCAGUUUCCAUCCCAACGCCAGCCAACCAACUCAAAACCCUCCAAUUAAGUCACAUCAAAACACUAUUUACCCUUUGUUUAAUAUUAUUAAAUUCCCAUUUUGCCCCUAACACUUCAACAUAUCUACAACUAUGCCAUUAUCUUUUGAUUCUUUCCUAUUUUACCCCUUAUAUUAAUUGAAAAGGACUAUUCUAUCCCUUUUUAUAUAAAAAAAAAUAUUUUGGGGUUAUUACA